RNAcentral lists this ribosomal RNA (253 nucleotides) under uncultured bacterium. RNAcentral describes it as "partial 16S ribosomal RNA". It matches the Rfam family "Bacterial small subunit ribosomal RNA", at positions 524 to 776 of the family's 1533-position model. The record is from RNAcentral.
UACGAAGGGGGCUAGCGUUGCCCGGAAUCACUGGGCGUAAAGCGCACGUAGGCGGCUUUUUAAGUCAGGGGUGAAAUCCUGGAGCUCAACUCCAGAACUGCCUUUGAUACUGAGAAGCUUGAGUCCGGGAGAGGUGAGUGGAACUGCGAGUGUAGAGGUGAAAUUCGUAGAUAUUCGCAAGAACACCAGUGGCGAAGGCGGCUCACUGGCCCGGUACUGACGCUGAGGUGCGAAAGCGUGGGGAGCAAACAGG